Molecule: long non-coding RNA, 512 nt
Filed under: Sarcophilus harrisii (Tasmanian devil)
Lineage: Eukaryota; Metazoa; Chordata; Mammalia; Dasyuromorphia; Dasyuridae
Description: lncRNA (ENSSHAG00000027263.1)
Source: RNAcentral
AUGCUUCUUGACUCACCGACAUAUCUUCCAGUCAACUUCAUUCUACUUUCUAGAUGUUGGGGCCAACAUCAGAAUUGUCUGGAUUUGAUUAAGUCAAUACUUACUCAACAUAUUUUAGUUAAGCAUCAUGGUGCAGUGGACAGGACAAUGGAUUUCCAGUUGUAGUAUCCUGGAUCAACUCUCAGUCCUGGUUCAAAUCCAAGCCUUGUGUGACUUUGGGGUAAGUACCUUGUCUUUUCAGUUUCUUCAUCUAUAAAAAAGAGGGUUGAACUCAAUGAUCUCUAAGUUUUAUAAUCCAGUAAUAUAUAUUUUAGAAAGAUUUACAUCCAAAAUUAAAUAUAUUACUUUUUAUUUAAACUUCAAAGGGGCAAACCCUUAGCUUUUUGGAAAGUUCAUUUAUGCUGAAUAAUCAGAGUUCUGGAUAGAGUUUUGUUUCAUGUGUGCAUAUGUGAAGGAUUUGUGAUUUUGUCAGCAUGAGGUAUUCCCAUGGUGGGAAUUUGGUUUUCCAGUAA